This 141-nucleotide ribosomal RNA is filed under the name Trentepohlia aurea. RNAcentral's name for it is "5.8S ribosomal RNA". Lineage: Eukaryota; Viridiplantae; Chlorophyta; Ulvophyceae; Trentepohliales; Trentepohliaceae. The record is from RNAcentral.
GGCCCUCCCGGGUUCUCCUAUCGCAAGGUGGGGGAGGUUCCCGGGUUGGCUGAAGGGUAGAGACGGGGGACCGGAUACGCCGGGCAGCCACGAUUUUGGUGGAUGGACCUCGCGUGUCCGCAACACUCGUCGUGCUCCCAA